UGCAUGGCCGCCUCCAUUUCACGCACACCCUCGGGCACACGCACACCCUCGGGCACACGCACACCCUCGGGCACACGCACACGCACAACGCACAACGCAGGACCUUGCCAUUGCGCAUCUUACCUUCCGGGCGUUUUCCUCUAGGGCACAUAUUUGUUUCGCCGCAUCGUUGGCGGUGGCUGCUGUUGCCAUCAGCCGGCAAAUGCCGUCGGCGCACAGGCAUCGUCGACCGAAGACGGCCAGCGUUACAGUCCCUGACAAGUCCAAGAAGCACGUGCGAGGCAUCGCAGACGAAUCCUCGACGGGGACCAAUGCUCGGGGUGCCGCUGCCGCUACAGGUGGCGGCAGCGCGAGCGUGGACUCGGAGAAAAGGUCGAAAGGCGUGCCGGCGCCGGCGGCGGUGCUCAUGCGGGCGCUCGGGCUGGCUGUUGAAGCAAGUGACGGCACUGGCGACAAGGGCGAGUGCAACUCGGCGUUGCUGACUAGCAGCCUAAGCUGCGACCCGUCUCGGAGCAUGGAGGUGGAGGUGGAGACAAGACAGGGGUACGUCUACACAGGCAAGCUGGUGCACAUUGAUGACCACUACAACGUUAUGCUGAACGAGGCGCUGGUGCGACGAGCCCGCAGUUUUGAUGUGGAGCGGGCGAUACUGCGUGAGAAGUCGCAGCAGGAGGCACGGCUCAUCGCAAGCAGUCUCCAAGGCAUGGUGACAGAGGAUGCAGACGUGAUGCAGAGCACUAGUGAGCUGAUGCCGCGACCUCGCUACAUCGGUGCCACGUACAUCCGAAGCAACAGCAUCUUCCUCAUGCGCUUCGUUGACGCGGCAGGCGGCACCGGCACAACAGCUGUUUCUGCGGCUUUUUCCAACUCCGCGUUGGGGCAGCUCAAGAGUGACUUUUCAAUGAUGGCUGCAUCGAUCAAGGCCCACUUGCAGCGGGAGAAGAUGCGCAAUCGGGCCGCGCGCCGCAAGCGCCUCGAGGCCAAGAAGUCGGCGGGAGGAGGCGGCGGCGGCCGGUAAAGGGUGCUCAGGGCAAAAGACGUGCUAAUCUGUCGAUGCCCAGGACACGAAUGACCUGGAAACAAAACUCACACAAGUGCCUAGAUACGCGACACAUUGUACGGGCCAUGCACUGGGGCGCUGAACACGCUGACCGGGGAGCCUGUCUGUGUGCUCUUCCGCUCUCUGAGUUCUCUGCGGCAUCUUCGUGUAGAGACGCCUGUUUAUGACAUGGGAGUCGCUUGACACGUUGUCGCGUCGAGGUUGUCCAGAGGAUGGCAAUCCCCCCGACACGCUUCGCUGGGCGAGGGGUGGCCCGUCGCCUCUGUUGAAAAGU
RNAcentral lists this unclassified non-coding RNA (1334 nucleotides) under Leishmania donovani. RNAcentral's name for it is "gene:LdHU3.17.0620(CDS-product:LSM_domain_contain ing_protein_putative)". The record is from RNAcentral. Lineage: Eukaryota; Euglenozoa; Kinetoplastea; Trypanosomatida; Trypanosomatidae.